RNAcentral lists this ribosomal RNA (225 nucleotides) under uncultured bacterium. RNAcentral's name for it is "partial 16S ribosomal RNA". It matches the Rfam family "Bacterial small subunit ribosomal RNA", at positions 122 to 334 of the family's 1533-position model. The record is from RNAcentral.
CGACCUUGCCUCGUGGUGGGGGAUAGCCGGCCCAACGGCCGGGUAAUACCGCAUAGGGUGGUUCUUUCGCAUGGGAGAACUAGCAAAGCUGUGCAGCAAUGCAUGGCGCCACAGGGGGGGCUCGCGGCCUAUCAGCUAGUUGGGGGGGUAAUGGCCCACCAAGGCGACGACGGGUAGCUGGUCUGAGAGGAUGGCCAGCCACAUUGGGACUGAGACACGGCCCAG